This 253-nucleotide ribosomal RNA is filed under the name uncultured bacterium. RNAcentral's name for it is "partial 16S ribosomal RNA". It matches the Rfam family "Bacterial small subunit ribosomal RNA", at positions 524 to 776 of the family's 1533-position model. The record is from RNAcentral.
UACAGAGGUGGCAAGCGUUGUUCGGAAUUACUGGGCGUAAAGGGCGCGUAGGCGGUUCGAUAAGUCCCGUGUGAAAUCCCUCGGCUCAACUGAGGAAUGGCACGGGAAACUGACGGGCUUGAGUUCGGGAGAGGGAAGCGGAAUUCCGGGUGUAGCGGUGAAAUGCGUAGAUAUCCGGAGGAACACCGGUGGCGAGGGCGGCUUCCUGGACCGACACUGACGCUGAGGCGCGAAAGCUAGGGGAGCAAACGGG